GACGAACGCUGGCGGCGUGCUUAACACAUGCAAGUCGAGCGGUAAGGCCCUUUCGGGGGUACGACGAGCGGCGAACGGGUGAGUAACACGUGGGUGACCUGCCCUCCAGCUCUGGGAGUAAGCCCGGGAAACCGUAGGGUCGUAAUACCGGAUAUGACUUCAUGACGCAUGUUGUGGAGUGGAAAGCCUUGUGCGGCUGAGGAUGGGCCCGCGGCCUAUCAGCUUGUUGGUGGGGUGAGGCCUACCAAGGCGACGACGGGUAGCCGGCCUGAGAGGGCGACCGGCCACACUGGGACGUGAGAUACGGCCC
This 310-nucleotide ribosomal RNA is filed under the name uncultured bacterium. Its description in RNAcentral is "bacterial SSU rRNA". It matches the Rfam family "Bacterial small subunit ribosomal RNA", at positions 28 to 332 of the family's 1533-position model. The record is from RNAcentral.